Molecule: ribosomal RNA, 253 nt
Filed under: uncultured bacterium
Lineage: Bacteria
Description: partial 16S ribosomal RNA
Rfam family: Bacterial small subunit ribosomal RNA
Source: RNAcentral
UACGAAGGGGGCUAGCGUUGUUCGGAAUUACUGGGCGUAAAGCGCGCGCAGGCGGCUAUCCAAGUCAGUGGUGAAAGCCCGGAGCUCAACUCCGGAACUGCCAUUGAAACUGUUUAGCUUGAGGACGAGAGAGGUGAGUGGAAUUCCCAGUGUAGAGGUGAAAUUCGUAGAUAUUGGGAAGAACACCGGUGGCGAAGGCGGCUCACUGGCUCGUAUCUGACGCUCAGGCGAGACAGCGUGGGGAUCAAACAGG